UCUCGAACUGUCCCAGUGCAACGAAGGC
Molecule: non-coding RNA, 28 nt
Filed under: Bombyx mori (domestic silkworm)
Lineage: Eukaryota; Metazoa; Arthropoda; Insecta; Lepidoptera; Bombycidae
Source: RNAcentral